Molecule: ribosomal RNA, 293 nt
Filed under: uncultured bacterium
Lineage: Bacteria
Description: partial 16S ribosomal RNA
Rfam family: Bacterial small subunit ribosomal RNA
Source: RNAcentral
GUGUCAGCCGCCGCGGUAAUACGGGGGGUGCGAGCGUUGUCCGGAAUCACUGGGCGUAAAGGGCGCGUAGGUGGCUUGGUAAGCGCGUGGUGAAAGCCCGGGGCUCAACCCCGGGUCUGCCAUGCGAACUACUAUGGCUUGAGCACUGUAGAGGCAGGUAGAAUUCCGGGUGUAGCGGUGGAAUGCGUAGAGAUCCGGAAGAAUACCGGUGGCGAAGGCGGCCUGCUGGGCAGUGGCUGACACUGAGGCGCGACAGCGUGGGGAGCAAACAGGAUUAGAAACCCUUGUAGUCC